Molecule: long non-coding RNA, 563 nt
Filed under: Setaria viridis
Lineage: Eukaryota; Viridiplantae; Streptophyta; Magnoliopsida; Poales; Poaceae
Description: long non-coding RNA (SVIR_LNC002856)
Source: RNAcentral
GAUUAUUAAGCUAGCCUAUUUACACGGCAUACAAAUCAUGCCAUCCCAUAAUAGGGGUGGAUCCAACGCGGGGGCUGGGGGGCUGGAGCCCCUCUACCCCAUGGAUCCCAUAGAGCCCUUCAAAGCAUCCCCCUACAAAUUUCAGCCAUAGAUGAAAAGAAGGAAGAAGAAAAGGAGGAGGAAGAAGAAGGGAAAGAGAGGAGGGAGGAAGAAGGGGAAGAUGAGCCCCCUCUAAUCUUUGGCCUCAGAUCCACCCCUGCCCAUAAUCAACACUAAUGCCGACAUGACAUGCUGUUACUUCACCUUCACGAAGGAAACAGCAAAAGACUAAACAAAAUUAAAGACACAAUCAAGAUGGUCAUCAAGCGUUAUUUGUAACAAUCACCUUGAACCAGAAGAAGAAUUUUCUCAGUAGGCUCAGUCUCUCAUCACGGCCAGCUGACUUUAUUUGCACAGCAAGAUCUGCAUGAUUUACCAAACAUCAGUUUUGCUCACGAAGUACUAUAUGCAACAAACCAAUUACUCUCUUCUUGCAUUUUUUUAGGUUAAUAAAGCAAUGAAAC